This is a long non-coding RNA of Octopus sinensis (East Asian common octopus), 171 nucleotides long. RefSeq lists it as uncharacterized. NCBI's taxonomy places the organism in Eukaryota, Metazoa, Mollusca, Cephalopoda, Octopoda, Octopodidae. The record is from RefSeq and is a predicted model, not a curated record. The transcript has 3 exons.
AGGUUUUUAACUAUAUUCUUGUGGAACCUAAUGUCUAAAUCGCUUAUUACCACAACCAGUAGAAUAUCUUACAAUCACCUCAUGAAAUUAAGCAGUAAGCUUUUUGUGCAUCGGGAUACACCAGAAAAUAACUCCAAAACCCACUUUGCAUUUACACCUGCUAAUGUAAAA